CCUACGGGAGGCAGCAGUGGGGAAUAUUGCGCAAUGGACGAAAGCCUGACGCAGCGACGCCGCGUGAGGGAUGAAGGUCUUCGGAUCGUAAACCUCUGUCAGCAGGGAAGAACGGUCACUGUGCUAAUCAGCAGUGAAUUGACGGUACCUGCAAAGGAAGCACCGGCUAACUCCGUGCCAGCAGCCGCGGUAAUACGGAGGGUGCGAGCGUUAAUCGGAAUUACUGGGCGUAAAGCGCUCGUAGGCGGUAUGUCAAGUCAAGGGUGAAAUCCCCGCGCUCAACGUGGGAACUGCCUUUGAAACUGGCAAACUGGAGUGUGUGAGAGGAUAGUGGAAUUCCAGGUGUAGGAGUGAAAGCCGUAGAUAUCUGGAGGAACAUCAGUGGCGAAGGCGACUAUCUGGCACAUAACUGACGCUGAGGAGCGAAAGCGUGGGUAGCAAACAGGAUUAGAUACCCUAGUAGUC
RNAcentral lists this ribosomal RNA (465 nucleotides) under uncultured bacterium. RNAcentral's name for it is "partial 16S ribosomal RNA". It matches the Rfam family "Bacterial small subunit ribosomal RNA", at positions 338 to 795 of the family's 1533-position model. The record is from RNAcentral.